This 371-nucleotide ribosomal RNA is filed under the name uncultured organism. RNAcentral's name for it is "bacterial SSU rRNA". It matches the Rfam family "Bacterial small subunit ribosomal RNA", at positions 527 to 896 of the family's 1533-position model. The record is from RNAcentral.
CAGAGGGGCUAGCGUUGUUCGGAAUUACUGGGCGUAAAGGGCGCGUAGGUGGCCUGUUAAGUCGAACGUGAAAUCCCCGGGCUCAACCCGGGAACUGCGUCCGAGACUGGCAGGCUCGAAUCCGGGAGAGGGAUGUGGAAUUCCAGGUGUAGCGGUGAAAUGCGUAGAUAUCUGGAGGAACACCGGUGGCGAAGGCGGCAUCCUGGACCGGUAUUGACGCUGAGGCGCGAAAGCCAGGGGAGCAAACGGGAUUAGAUACCCCGGUAGUCCUGGCCCUAAACGAUGAAUGCUUGGUGUGGCGGGUAUCGAUCCCUGCCGUGCCGAAGCUAACGCAUUAAGCAUUCCGCCUGGGGAGUACGGUCGCAAGGCUG